AGAAGGGCUUCCACGACUUGGUCGUUUGGGGGCCUUUUUCUUUUUGC
This is a non-coding RNA of Rhizobium sp. PDO1-076, 47 nucleotides long. It matches the Rfam family "ctRNA". From Rfam's summary of the family: This family represents a group of ctRNAs (or counter-transcribed RNAs) from p42d and related plasmids. ctRNAs are small, highly structured, antisense sequences which are involved in negative regulation. Members of this family are known to bind to the mRNA of repC causing translational repression. The record is from Rfam. NCBI's taxonomy places the organism in Bacteria, Pseudomonadati, Pseudomonadota, Alphaproteobacteria, Hyphomicrobiales, Rhizobiaceae.